Molecule: ribosomal RNA, 302 nt
Filed under: uncultured bacterium
Lineage: Bacteria
Description: partial 16S ribosomal RNA
Rfam family: Bacterial small subunit ribosomal RNA
Source: RNAcentral
GCAGUAGCCGCGGGAAUACAGAGGGUGCGAGCGUUAAUCGGAUUUACUGGGCGUAAAGCGUGCGUAGGCGGCUAAUUGAGUCGGAUGUGAAAUCCCUGAGCUUAACUUGGGAAUUGCAUUCGAUACUGGUUAGCUAGAGUGUGGGAGAGGAUGGUAGAAUUCCAGGUGUAGCGGUGAAAUGCGUAGAGAUCUGGAGGAAUACCGAUGGCGAAGGCAGCCAUCUGGCCUAACACUGACGCUGAGGUACGAAAGCAUGGGGAGCAAACAGGAUUAGAUACCCCCGUAGUCCCUGUCUCUUAUAC